RNAcentral lists this ribosomal RNA (1071 nucleotides) under Bacillus sonorensis. RNAcentral's name for it is "bacterial SSU rRNA". It matches the Rfam family "Bacterial small subunit ribosomal RNA", at positions 34 to 1118 of the family's 1533-position model. Lineage: Bacteria; Bacillati; Bacillota; Bacilli; Caryophanales; Bacillaceae. The record is from RNAcentral.
GGCAAGGGCGGGUCUAUAAUGCAGUCGAGCGGACCGACGGGAGCUUGCUCCCUUAUGUUAGCGGCGGACGGGUGAGUAACACGUGGGUAACCUGCCUGUAAGACUGGGAUAACUCCGGGAAACCGGGGCUAAUACCGGAUGCUUGAUUGAACCGCAUGGUUCAAUUAUAAAAGGUGGCUUCUGCUACCACUUACAGAUGGACCCGCGGCGCAUUAACUAGUUGGGGAGGGAACGGCUCACCAAGGGGACCAUGCGUAACCGAACUGAAAGGGUGAUCGGCCACCCUGGGACUGAAACACGGCCCAACUCCUACGGGAGGGAGCAGUAAGGAAUCUUCCGCAAUGGACGAAAGUCUGACGGAACAACCCCCCGUGGGUGAUGAAGGUUUUCGGAUCCUAAAACUCUGUUGUUAGGGAAAAACAAGUACCGUUCGAAUAAGGCGGUACCUUGACGGUACCUAACCAGAAAGCCACGGCUAACUACCUGCCAACAGCCGCGGUAAUACCUAAGUGGCAAGCGUUGUCCGGAAUUAUUGGGCGUAAAGCGCGCGCAGGCGGUUUCUUAAGUCUGAUGUGAAAGCCCCCGGCUCAACCGGGGAGGGUCAUUGGAAACUGGGGAACGAAUGCAGAAGAAGAAAGUGGAAUUCCACGUGUAACGGUGAAAUGCGUAAAAUGUGGAAGAACACCAGUGGCGAAAGCGACUCUCUGGUCUGUAACUGACGCUGAAGCGCGAAAGCGUGGGGAGCGAACAGGAUUAGAUACCCUGGUAGUCCACGCCGUAAACGAUGAGUGCUAAGUGUUAGAGGGUUUCCGCCCUUUAGUGCUGCAGCAAACGCAUUAAGCACUCCGCUGGGGAAUACGGUCGGCAGACUGAAACUCAGAAUUGACGGGGCCCGCACAGCGGUGGAGCAUGUGGUUUAAUUCGAAGCACGCGAAGAACUUACAGGUCUUGACAUCUCUGACAACCUAGAGAUAGGCUUCCCUUCGGGCAGAUGACAGUGUGCAUGUGUCGUCAGCUCUGUUCGUGAGAAUGUGGGUAGUCCGCACGAGCGCACCUGAUUCUUAGUGCAGC